Molecule: long non-coding RNA, 1216 nt
Filed under: Homo sapiens (human)
Lineage: Eukaryota; Metazoa; Chordata; Mammalia; Primates; Hominidae
Description: HSALNT0289613
Source: RNAcentral
CGCCGGGCGCAGCAAGGGCCAGACUCUGCGCUAGCAGGCGCUGCGCGCCAACCGGCCGGCACCUGUCGCAGAAGGUGCAACCGAUCGCACUGUCGCGCAGAAGCUCCUCAAUGGCCAGCGCCAGCUGCAGCCCCGGCCGCCCACUCGCCUCAUCUGAGCCUGGGCAAAUCUGGAUUGGGAAAGUUGACAUUAAUCAACUCAUUAUUCCUCACAGAUUUGUAUUCUCCAGAGUAUCCAGGUCCUUCUCAGAGAAUUAAAAAGCCUGUACAGCGCUGCUCUAAGCUGUUGAUGAAAAAUAUUGUUGGUGAGCUCUGCUUAGGUAAUAUAUAGGACAUGAGCAGAGAGGAGGCACGUGAACAGUUCUGGCCUGGAGUAGGCUUCAUUGAGGCUGUGAUGCUUUUAGCUGGAUUUGAAGAAGUGGUAGUGAUCAUCCCAGUGCACAGGAUAGGUGGACAGUCUAUGUAUUCUGAGCAGUAACUCAUAUAUCUCAUACUGCAAGACCCCAAAGGAGUAAUUUUGUGAACUCUGUUCACGGAAAGGGCCUGGGAGCUGCAACACCUCAACAGCAACAAGCACACCUGCUACCUAGAACUUGGUUUCUAAAAACCAUCCUCCUCUAAAAGGAAACAGAGCUCUUUGAAGAAACGCAGAAGGUAAGCAUGAGCAAAUUACUUUUUAGAGGUAACUUUGCUGAACUUGUGAAGAAUGGUGUGCAAGGUCCAGAGCGACUGCAGGAGAGGGAAGGUGGGAUUCCCACAGAGCAGGAGCACAGAUAAGCCAAGCAAGGCCCUGCUUGGAAGGCAGCAAUCAACAGAGAUGCACAGACCUGUGAGGGUGCCGGGACAGCCAUGCAACAAUGCAGCCCUUUUGCUUCCUGAGCUCACCAGUUCCCUCGCUCCACCUCUGAGAGGUGGUUUGGAGAAACACAGCCCUUCUCAAGAGGGCUGCAAGCUACUUAAGUCCUGAAAAUUUCCACAAGGCUGAGUCAAAUCUGCGUUUCAUCAUCUAUAAGAAAGGUACCUAUCGAGAACACCCUGCUGGCCAGUGUGUAAAUAUCUAAAGGAGGACUCAGAAAACACCGGGGAAGUCCAGCCUGCACGUGGUGGCUGGGCUUCAGUGAAGCAUGCAGCACAACAGGAGUUAGCAGCCAUGCACUGCCCAGGCUGGAAGUAUGCUCAACCACAAGGGUCAGGGCUGGGAGAGGCGCUUCGGUAGC